Molecule: transfer RNA, 72 nt
Filed under: Mus musculus (house mouse)
Lineage: Eukaryota; Metazoa; Chordata; Mammalia; Rodentia; Muridae
Description: tRNA-Cys (GCA) (tRNA-Cys-GCA-9-1)
Rfam family: tRNA
About the family: Transfer RNA (tRNA) molecules are approximately 80 nucleotides in length. Their secondary structure includes four short double-helical elements and three loops (D, anti-codon, and T loops). Further hydrogen bonds mediate the characteristic L-shaped molecular structure. tRNAs have two regions of fundamental functional importance: the anti-codon, which is responsible for specific mRNA codon recognition, and the 3' end, to which the tRNAs corresponding amino acid is attached (by aminoacyl-tRNA synthetases). tRNAs cope with the degeneracy of the genetic code in two manners: having more than one tRNA (with a specific anti-codon) for a particular amino acid; and 'wobble' base-pairing, i.e. permitting non-standard base-pairing at the 3rd anti-codon position.
Source: Rfam by way of RNAcentral
GGGGGUAUAGCUCAGGGGUAGAGCAUUUGACUGCAGAUUAAGAGGUCCCUGGUUCAAAUCCAGGUGCCCCCU